UUUGAAUCAGUACAACAGUGUUACUCCCUGAAUUAUUACCAUGCUGAGGUGUUUAGAUAGUGUUCCUUUGGAUAGCCUUGACAAUAUAUAAUUAUCAGUCUCCACUUGACAGACUUUUCCCACUGACAUGCUAUUCUUUCCGAGGGACCCUGUUUCCCAAACCUCGGUAUUUUUGCUGUGAGGCUCCAGAAUCCAAGUCAAAUUUAUGUGACAAUGCUUUCCACAUAUCAGUGAAAACUAGGGUAGAGAUUUUUCUUUCAACUUUUAGAUCUGCAAAAUAGUAAAAGUCAUUGCAAAAUGUUUUGUGGUUUGCCAAGAGUAAGGAGCGUUUCUCUCUGGAUGUAGAAAGAGCAACAGGGAAUCCAAAAGAGGAUCCCCAAGUGGUGGCUAGCCUGCCAGAUGGACUUGGACUGCCUGCAGAUGAUACUGAAUUUCUCCUAUUUUUUUUUGUCCCAUAUAUCUCAGGAGUAGCUGCUGCCUGUUUCAGUAGAGGUGGCAUCCAGGGGAACUUCGUUGAUGUCCCUCACAGAUGUCACUGCUGACUCAUAUAGGUUUAGAGGUGAGCAAGGGGGAGUUGCAGCCUAAUGCAUCACUCUCUGCAACCAUACAGAAACAGAGCAGAUGCUGAAAUCUUUGAAUGCCUUAUGUUGUCACAGUCUGUAAUCAGCAGAUUUUGCUCUCUUGACUGGUGAUGUUACAUUCAUAUAUUGCCUAGAGGCCACAAAGCAAGAAGAAGAAGCGAAUAUGUUGCUUGUCAGCCUGCAAUUUGUCUGUAUUGGCACUUCACCAUAUAUCUUUCAUCAGAUGUACUCAUUUUGGGAAAAUUGUUUUGUUUUGUGAUUCCUCUCAUAUUAAUAUGCCACAGUUCCAGGUUUGUACCUCUUGCACUGCUAUGAAUGGCAUAGUAUAUUAAUUCUUGUUAAG
RNAcentral lists this long non-coding RNA (924 nucleotides) under Numida meleagris (helmeted guineafowl). RNAcentral's name for it is "lncRNA (ENSNMEG00000019144.1)". The record is from RNAcentral. Lineage: Eukaryota; Metazoa; Chordata; Aves; Galliformes; Numididae.